UGGGGAAUUUUGGACGAAUUGGGCGAAAGCCUGAUCCAGCAAUGCCGCGUGUGUGAAGAAGGCCUUCGGGUUGUAAAGCACUUUUGUCCGGAAAGAAAUCCUUGACUCUAAUACAGUCGGGGGAUGACGGUACCGGAAGAAUAAGCACCGGCUAACUACGUGCCAGCAGCCGCGGUAAUACGUAGGGUGCAAGCGUUAAUCGGAAUUACUGGGCGUAAAGCGUGCGCAGGCGGUUUGCUAAGACCGAUGUGAAAUCCCCGGGCUCAACCUGGGAACUGCAUUGGUGACUGGCAGGCUAGAGUAUGGCAGAGGGGGGUUAGAAUUCCACGUGUAGCAGUGAAAUGCGUAGAGAUGUGGAGGAAUACCGAUGGCGAAGGCAGCCCCCUGGGCCAAGUACUGACGCUCAUGCACGAAAGCGUGGGGAGCAAACNGGCUUAGAUACCCUGGUAGUCCACGCCGUAAANGGUGGGCACUAGGU
This 478-nucleotide ribosomal RNA is filed under the name uncultured bacterium. RNAcentral describes it as "partial 16S ribosomal RNA". It matches the Rfam family "Bacterial small subunit ribosomal RNA", at positions 355 to 821 of the family's 1533-position model. The record is from RNAcentral.